Non-coding RNA from Acanthosepion pharaonis, 114 nucleotides. The record is from the annotation of a GenBank genome assembly. NCBI's taxonomy places the organism in Eukaryota, Metazoa, Mollusca, Cephalopoda, Sepiida, Sepiidae.
UACAGUCAAAUCCCAAAGAAAAUGCCAUGUCUCCUUUGAUUACUGAAGUUAAGCAGUGUUGAGCAUGGUCAGUAAUUAGAUGGGGGACUACUUGGGAACACUGGGUACUGUAAG